CCAGUUCUUCCCUGUGCCAUCGGCAGCUUCUCAUUUCAGGGUGGUGUAUGGGGAUGGGGUGCUGCCGGGUGAGUUCCAGGUGAGCGGAGGGCAGCAGCUCAUCCCGGUCCCUCGGCAGCCCAUCCCUCUCCUUGGUUCCAUGCAUUCUGCACCCUGACCGCUGCCGACCCACUGUGACCCAGGUUUGCCACCUUUAUGUUGCAGGAUUGAGCUGACCUCUGAUCUCACAUCUCUGUAGCAAGUACCUUAGGUCCUCGGCCACAAACAUUCUUGCAAAUCUGUUUGAACUGAAGACUAUAUGAAGUUGUCCCUAGCCUCCUCCUAAAGGCAUCCCUUGGCAUCUUUAAAGGCUUGAGAGAAAUACCAAAACCAACUAAACACACUCAUAAGAGAAUCCAUAAGCCCUCAAAACUUGGCAUCCCCUCUUGGUCUGAAGUUGAGUUCUUCAAAAACUCCUGUGGUAUCAAGGUUAAGGAGAUGCUGUUGUGUGUCUCCGUGGACUGGGGCUGGGCCCAAGGAGUGACUUGAGUUGUGUUUGGGGGGGCUGGGAUGUCCUCUAUGAACCUUUCUCCCUCUCCUUCAAACAGAACCCAAAUUGGAUACCAAAUUUGCAGCAAGCCUAUUAGUUAUGUGCAUCACCAUGUAUUAGCCCUGCUGUGAAUUCAGUGUUGUUUCUUUAGAGGGGUGGGUGAACUGUAGCUCUUCUCCCAGACCGGCCUGGAUCUUAUACCAGACUGCCAAAUCCCAAAUUCUUUUUAGAGCCAAAUCCCUCUGUGUCGCUGGGGAGUGGGAACUGACUAUGAUUUCAAACACUGUGUAACAUUGCUUUAUUCCAAGGAGUGGAGGCACAAGGUGGGAUCAAAGUAAGGGAGGGAAGAUGGUAGCUGACUCAAAUCUUACUUCUGUAGUUAUUUUAGCAAAGAGCUGAUCUUGCAGGUAGAAGGAAGACUGGAGAAGUGAUGAAGGUUGAUAGCUUAGCUGUUCAGUUUGUGGUGAAGGCAUAGGAGACCACACUUUGGCUGCUAUUAUCUGGAUUCACACUUCCCUGCUCUGUUCCCAAGAGGUGAGACCCAAGGAGGUAGCUAUGGCACUGUGGGUUCCCCCAGCUCAGGAUGAGACUAGGGGGGUCCUGGAAGAGACACCCUCCCCAUUUCUCUGCCCGCUUGCUGUCUCAUUGCCCUCUUAUCUUGCUAGCCCAGUGGCAUGUCCACAGGUGCCACAUCUCAGCACCUCCCCUCAGCUCUGUUGGGAUGAAUUCAGCUGGGUGUACAUGCCUGCUUCAGGCACGGCAGGCUGCAAAUGAAAGCCAGCUGGUUUGUGAGAGUGAGAAGAGGGCCCAAGUCCUCUAGUGUUGUUUCAGAAACACCAGGCUGGCUGGGAAUGUGUCCUUCAAAUUUCACUGCAGGACGACAGCCUCUUGGCUAAAGCUGCAAACAUAUCAGAAAACCAAUAGGCUGCUUUUUCUUUUUUAUUUUUUUUUCUUUCCUUUUUUUUUUUAAUUCCUAUGCAGACGAUACUUGAAACCUUGUACACAGUUGUCCUUUCCAGCGCCUGGGGUUGGCAAAUUCUUAAUAAAAGGGCUCAUUUAAAGAACAGCAGGAGGCUUCAGCUUUAGAAGAGGUUGGGCUGCCCCUUCCCAGCCAACAACUGCAAGCGUGUUCAGUGGUUUGCAUAUGAAUUUAGGCACACCCUCUGCUUCAACACCCCACUAGUACAGCCGCUGUCUCCCUUUGGUGCUGGCUAGCUGACUCUGUGUCCCAAGCACCCAACUAUGCAAAGAAUGCCUUAUAUACAUUGUGUUUGUUACAUGGCAAUAUGUACAUCCAGCAAAGUCUAUAGUUGAGUCCAGAUUUUUGCUAGUGGCAGCGAGUCAAACUAUUUCUUCAACUCAAAUGGCUGUCUGGGUAUUUUUUACUUCUGUUUCGUUUGUUUGUUUUGUAUCUGAUGGUGGCUCUUAUACGAAGGACUGUAAUUCUAGUGGCUU
Molecule: long non-coding RNA, 1984 nt
Filed under: Gallus gallus (chicken)
Lineage: Eukaryota; Metazoa; Chordata; Aves; Galliformes; Phasianidae
Description: long non-coding RNA NONGGAT003261
Source: RNAcentral